Molecule: ribosomal RNA, 1105 nt
Filed under: Escherichia coli
Lineage: Bacteria; Pseudomonadati; Pseudomonadota; Gammaproteobacteria; Enterobacterales; Enterobacteriaceae
Description: partial 23S ribosomal RNA
Rfam family: Bacterial large subunit ribosomal RNA
Source: RNAcentral
GUACACAAAAAUGCACAUAUUGUGAGCUCGAUGAGUAGGGCGGGACACGUGGUAUCCUGUCUGAAUAUGGGGGGACCAUCCUCCAAGGCUAAAUACUCCUGACUGACCGAUAGUGAACCAGUACCGUGAGGGAAAGGCGAAAAGAACCCCGGCGAGGGGAGUGAAAAAGAACCUGAAACCGUGUACGUACAAGCAGUGGGAGCACGCUUAGGCGUGUGACUGCGUACCUUUUGUAUAAUGGGUCAGCGACUUAUAUUCUGUAGCAAGGUUAACCGAAUAGGGGAGCCGAAGGGAAACCGAGUCUUAACUGGGCGUUAAGUUGCAGGGUAUAGACCCGAAACCCGGUGAUCUAGCCAUGGGCAGGUUGAAGGUUGGGUAACACUAACUGGAGGACCGAACCGACUAAUGUUGAAAAAUUAGCGGAUGACUUGUGGCUGGGGGUGAAAGGCCAAUCAAACCGGGAGAUAGCUGGUUCUCCCCGAAAGCUAUUUAGGUAGCGCCUCGUGAAUUCAUCUCCGGGGGUAGAGCACUGUUUCGGCAAGGGGGUCAUCCCGACUUACCAACCCGAUGCAAACUGCGAAUACCGGAGAAUGUUAUCACGGGAGACACACGGCGGGUGCUAACGUCCGUCGUGAAGAGGGAAACAACCCAGACCGCCAGCUAAGGUCCCAAAGUCAUGGUUAAGUGGGAAACGAUGUGGGAAGGCCCAGACAGCCAGGAUGUUGGCUUAGAAGCAGCCAUCAUUUAAAGAAAGCGUAAUAGCUCACUGGUCGAGUCGGCCUGCGCGGAAGAUGUAACGGGGCUAAACCAUGCACCGAAGCUGCGGCAGCGACGCUGAUGCGUUGUUGGGUAGGGGAGCGUUCUGUAAGCCUGCGAAGGUGUGCUGUGAGGCAUGCUGGAGGUAUCAGAAGUGCGAAUGCUGACAUAAGUAACGAUAAAGCGGGUGAAAAGCCCGCUCGCCGGAAGACCAAGGGUUCCUGUCCAACGUUAAUCGGGGCAGGGUGAGUCGACCCCUAAGGCGAGGCCGAAAGGCGUAGUCGAUGGGAAACAGGUUAAUAUUCCUGUACUUGGUGUUACUGCGAAGGGGGGACGGAGAAGGCUAUGU